GGAGUUAGCCGGUGCUUCUUCUGCGAGUAACGUCACAGAUGUAAGGUAUUAACUUACACCCUUUCCUCCUCGCUGAAAGUGCUUUACAACCCGAAGGCCUUCUUCACACACGCGGCAUGGCUGCAUCAGGGUUUCCCCCAUUGUGCAAUAUUCCCCACUGCUGCCUCCCGUAGGAGUCUGGGCCGUGUCUCAGUCCCAGUGUGGCUGAUCAUCCUCUCAGACCAGCUAGGGAUCGUCGCCUAGGUGAGCCUUUACUUCACCUACUAGCUAAUCCCACCUGGGCUUAUCCAUCAGCGCAAGGCCCGAAGGUCCCCUGCUUUCCCCCGUAGGGCGUAUGCGGUAUUAGCAGUCGUUUCCAACUGUUAUCCCCCACAAAUGGGCAAAUUCCCAGGCAUUACUCACCCGUCCGCCGCUCGUCAUCUUCAAAAGCAAGCUUUUGAAAUGUUACCGCUCGACUUGCAUGUGUUAGGCCUGCCGCCAGCGUUCAAUCUGAACCAAGAUCAAAUUCUGA
Molecule: ribosomal RNA, 511 nt
Filed under: uncultured bacterium
Lineage: Bacteria
Description: partial 16S ribosomal RNA
Source: RNAcentral